Molecule: transfer RNA, 81 nt
Organism: Coniophora puteana RWD-64-598 SS2
Lineage: Eukaryota; Fungi; Basidiomycota; Agaricomycetes; Boletales; Coniophoraceae
Rfam family: tRNA
About the family: Transfer RNA (tRNA) molecules are approximately 80 nucleotides in length. Their secondary structure includes four short double-helical elements and three loops (D, anti-codon, and T loops).
Source: Rfam
GGUUCAAUGGUCUAAUGGUUAUGAUUUCUGUCUCACACUUCGGUGCACAGAAGGUUCUGAGUUCGAUCCUCAGUUGAACCA